RNAcentral lists this non-coding RNA (729 nucleotides) under Syndesmis kurakaikina. Lineage: Eukaryota; Metazoa; Platyhelminthes; Rhabdocoela; Umagillidae. The record is from RNAcentral.
UUAAAUAGUUUUUGUCUUGGACUAUAAAAUUAUGAAAGGGGUUUAUACAUAGAAAAUUUGUUGGAUUAUAAAAAAUAAUUAUAUUAAUUAAAUAAUUUCUGGUAUUGAAAAUUUUAGUGAAUUUCGACAGAAAGAAAAAGAACUCUUUUAAAAAGAAGAUAAUAUAAGUGCCAGCAUCUGCGGUUAUACUUAAUUUGGAAAUUUUUAGUUUAGAUUAAAUAAAGUGUUGAUUAAAACUUUAAACAACUUUGGUUUAAUAAAAUAAAGUUUAAAGUUUUAAUGUUUGUAAAGAAGAUUAAAAAAUUAGAUUAGAGACCUAAGUAUUCUUUUUUAAAAUUUCAAAAAUCUAAAUGAUCUUAAAAGACUUGGCGGUUACUCAACCCUGUUAAAGGAGCAUGRUUUAGAAGGGAUGYGCCCCCUAUUAAUUUGCCUUAGAUUAAAAGUAGGUGUAUGUCCAUGGAAGGAUUGUUAGUCGGGUAUGAUAAUUAUAGGAUCUUUCCUUAUGAAUUUCUUUAAGGUAGGUCAAUAUGCUGCUAUACUAAGGAAAAGUUGUGCUACUGAAUYGAAAAUGAAAAAAUUAAUUGUAAUUUAUUUUAAAAAAGGAUUUAAAAGUAAUAUUAAAUUAAUUAGUUAAUAUGAAAAGGUUAUGAGUUUCGUACACACCGCCCGUCGCCCUUUAGUAAGCUUUAGGUAAGUCGUAACAUGGUAAUUGUUCUGGAAAGAGCAGUU